UACGAAGGGGGCUAGCGUUGCUCGGAAUCACUGGGCGUAAAGGGUGCGUAGGCGGGCCUUUAAGUCAGGGGUGAAAACUCGGAGCUCAACUCCGAGCCCGCGUUCGAUACUGGGUGGCUAGAGUCUGGUAGGGGGAUCUGGAAUUCCUGGUGUAGCGGUGAAAUGCGUAGAUAUCUGGAGGAACACCGGUGGCGAAGGCGGCAUCCUGGACCGACACUGACGCUGAGGCGCGAAAGCUAGGGGAGCAAACGGG
RNAcentral lists this ribosomal RNA (253 nucleotides) under uncultured bacterium. RNAcentral describes it as "partial 16S ribosomal RNA". It matches the Rfam family "Bacterial small subunit ribosomal RNA", at positions 524 to 776 of the family's 1533-position model. The record is from RNAcentral.